UACCUUUUGUAUAAUGGGUCAGCGACUUAUAUUCUGUAGCAAGGUUAACCGUAUAGGGGAGCCGUAGGGAAACCGAGUCUUAACUGGGCGAAUGAGUUGCAGGGUAUAGACCCGAAACCCGGUGAUCUAUCCAUGGGCAGGUUGAAGGUUGGGUAACACUAACUGGAGGACCGAACCGACUAAUGUUGAAAAAUUAGCGGAUGACUUGUGGAUGGGGGUGAAAGGCCAAUCAAACCGGGAG
This 241-nucleotide ribosomal RNA is filed under the name Pseudomonas sp. HMSC066A08. RNAcentral describes it as "partial 23S ribosomal RNA". It matches the Rfam family "Bacterial large subunit ribosomal RNA", at positions 602 to 844 of the family's 2925-position model. Lineage: Bacteria; Pseudomonadati; Pseudomonadota; Gammaproteobacteria; Pseudomonadales; Pseudomonadaceae. The record is from RNAcentral.